RNAcentral lists this long non-coding RNA (1380 nucleotides) under Monodelphis domestica (gray short-tailed opossum). Its description in RNAcentral is "lncRNA (ENSMODG00000036291.2)". Lineage: Eukaryota; Metazoa; Chordata; Mammalia; Didelphimorphia; Didelphidae. The record is from RNAcentral.
CAGAAACUGAGACAGUGACAGUAAAUCAGAAACCUAGCUAAGGGACCGUUUCAGCCUUCCCUCUACUUUGGCUCUCCUACCUAGUCCCUCCACUGACUGUGGCCCUCUGGAUCCCACCCUGAACUGGUUAGACCCUGUCCCCAAGGGCCAAGCCCCUCCCUCCACAAACGUUCCUUUCCCCCAGCCCCUCCCUUUAAAGGUCAGGACUCACCCUCCUCCCUCUUCCACUAGAGGUGGGAUCUGGAAAUCUUUGGGGUGGGGAGUGGGUGAGUCGACAGUGCUGGGGCGGAAGCCAGGGCCCCACUGAAGAGCGCCCUGGAUAAAGGAGAGAGAAGGGGGCCAGGGGUUCAGGCAGCCCCCUCCGGUCCCAGCCAGUCCGCCGGCGGUUCACGAGCUCCCCCUAUUUACCUCCUCGAGGCCUGAUUUGGUAUUCCAGCGGAGGGAGGGCAGCCGGCUGACUCCAACAGCUGCUCCCUGACCCAAAAACUGUCACUCUGCCCGGGAAUAAAUUGCGGACCGGGGCAGUGCAGCUUGGCGCGACUAGGGAAGGGGAGGGGGUGCAGGGGCCUAGCCCGACCCGGCUCGGGACAGUGGCCACCCCUCCGGCCCCUUGAGCUCCCCCCGCCCCGGGCUCAAUGAGCUGCCCGGGAGGAGUGGCCCCUUCCUCCCAGCCCGCCCUGGUCCUAGAUCCGCAGCCUGCUCGCUCCUUCUGCAGACUCUAUUGGCUCCGAGCGGAGCUAGAAACGACUGCAGUGCCGAGUUCCUUCGGUUCUCCAGGAUGUGGAAACCAAGACUGAGGGGAAAUGAAGCUGGGCAUUUCCAGGGUCCCACAGGCAGCUUGGAAGUCCUUCCAGUACAGAAUGUCCAAGAUGUUUCAUAUACUUCUCUCCCUUCCACCUACUCAACAAUCUAGAAACAUCAGACUCUUUGCCAUUCUUAGACCAAGAUGUUCCAUCCUCUGACUCUGGGUAUUUUUUCUGCCUGUUUUGGAGGAGAGAAUUUGCAAGGCAUGCAUGCAAGACAGAAAGCAGAGGACAGAAGCUGUCAUUCAAAAUGAAGAAUCCAUUGGAAUGUGACUGGGAGACAGCUGAAGCCAAGUCAACGGCUGGAUUGGGCUGAAAAGGAGCUUUUGGCUUUUGACUUUUGGCUUCUGGCUGAUGGUGGUGGUUGGCUUUUGCUGGCUGGCUGAUUUGAAAGAAGAAAAAGAAGAAAGACAGUGGUCCUCGUAUCUCUCUGACUGACUCUGUUUCACAAUUGUGACUGAUUGCCAAUACCCUCAUUUGUAGAGAAUAGGGAAAUCCUACCCCUCUUACCUUAUCCUCUACCCUUGUCCUGUCUUCCCCAAAUAAACCCUUACUUGAGAAAAAAAGAGAAAAGAGU